Molecule: long non-coding RNA, 229 nt
Filed under: Bos indicus x Bos taurus (hybrid cattle)
Lineage: Eukaryota; Metazoa; Chordata; Mammalia; Artiodactyla; Bovidae
Description: lncRNA (ENSBIXG00005028835.1)
Source: RNAcentral
AGCCUGAAACAGUGUCCCUCUGUUACCCACAUCCCUAGCCUCCAUUCUUCUCUGUCUCCAGUGUGCACGUCUUGCUGCUCAUUCUCAGCACUGUUUGCCCCUGGUGGAGCUGAUGGAAAGGAUGCUUCUUAAAACAUGCAGCCAUGACCACAGGCAAAUUGAGGACAUUUUAAUCGAGACCAACUCCGUUUUGGGCUUCCCGGGUAAUUCAGUGGUAAAGAAUCCACCU